This 64-nucleotide transfer RNA is filed under the name Nanosesarma minutum. Its description in RNAcentral is "tRNA-Gly". The record is from RNAcentral. Lineage: Eukaryota; Metazoa; Arthropoda; Malacostraca; Decapoda; Sesarmidae.
AUUUUUUUAAUAUAAACAGUAUAUUUGAUUUCCAAUCAGAAAGUCUAAUAAUUUAGAAAAAAUA